GGCCGAUGUGAGGGUGUGUCAGAAACGUUCUUAAAAAGUGAGAUAUGCAUGUUAAAUGUCUUUGUGUGUUUUUUAAAUAACAAGAAAUAGCCCCCCUGGCUUCUGCUCCGCGGCUGCUGAGUGACCCCUCAUCUGGGGCUCUCCUCAGCUCUUACUGGGACAGUGGCGCGGCUGCCCCUCUGUUGGUCUUCCUUGGUCUCUUGUGUUCUGAGGGCCUCUGGAUGUCUGGAGUUUUGAUCUCCUCCAUACCUGCUUCAUGCCCUGGAGGACGGAGCUGUGGCCCCCCCACACCCUCUAGCAGAUCAUUACAUGAAGGAACCUUUUAAAUACAAGCGCGCUCACGCUCACAGGUGUACACACGGAUGCUCACACACAAACUACACCCUUUUUGGCUACUACCUCAAAGCACACUGUGCGCUGUCGAUCUUACGUUUAAUAUUUAGUAUUUACUGUUAUAUUCCCAUAUAUCAUCAUGAUGUUGUUUAUUAUGUUGCUCUUUUUUUUUCUUCUGCUUGUUUUCUCUUUUUUCUUUCUCAACAGGUGAUCCAGGUGAUUGAUACAUGUGUUUUUUGUCUGCUUAUUUUGUUGGUUUUUGUUGUUUUCCCUUUAUCACCUUUCCUCUUCCCCGCUGUUUUUCUUUCCCUCUUUCUUUCUCCCCUUUCUUUUCCCCAGUCAAGUCUGUCCUGUAUUUAGCAAAUGAAAAUAAAAUAAAAUAAACAAUAAAAGGUGAAUCAAAUAGACCAUUACAGCAAGGCUGGGAUGGUCCAUUUGGCAAAGUAAAUCCGUUGGGCAGCUUUCUUCGCCUUUAGACAAUAAUUCUGAUGGCAAAGAGCCAAACGGGACAGGCCAAAAUAAUAAAAUAAAAAAGAAAUAUGGUUAAUACAUGGUUGCGAAACAACAUCCACACAACCUCUUUUCCAGGUACACAGACAACAACAACAAGAACUUUAAGCUUUUUAUUGCUAUGAUUUAAAUGGGAAGGUAAACAAUUCAAAAGGAUAAUGGCUGGACUGAAAGUGUGAGAUUGUGAUUCUGAGUGUGACUCUAAGUUUUUUCUCUUUUUUUUUCUAACUCUUUUUUUAUCAAAAAAACGUCCCAUUUUGUUCAUCUCAUUUGACUCUAAUCAAAAUGAGGUAUUAGAAAACAUUUCUUGAACAUAAACUCUUUCUAGAAAAGUCUAAUGAGGCCAUCCAAGCAACGUUUAGGAAGUACACAAGCUGAUGUUGAGGUUUUAUCCUCAAAAUUUGGUUCAACCUUUAUUUCUCAACAAUUUUUCAACCCUGAUGAGAUGUCAAGAAAAGAUCAAGAUGGAAGUUAAUGUCAAAAUGUUUGCUGGCUACGAUUUAGUUGGAUUUAAACGCAAAGUUAGUUUCCACUUUUCUAAGAGUCUAGACAUGUGAUUGGGGUUAUUUACCUGCAUUCAUCAAAGGAUAAGAUAUAAUUCUUCAGUACUCCCUGCAGGUUUAGGGUUUAAGAAAGGAUUGAUAUGACGGCUUACAAAGCAAAAAUGUAU
This is a long non-coding RNA of Astatotilapia calliptera (eastern happy), 1513 nucleotides long. NCBI's taxonomy places the organism in Eukaryota, Metazoa, Chordata, Actinopteri, Cichliformes, Cichlidae. The record is from Ensembl.